Molecule: ribosomal RNA, 474 nt
Filed under: uncultured bacterium
Lineage: Bacteria
Description: SSU rRNA
Rfam family: Bacterial small subunit ribosomal RNA
Source: RNAcentral
AGGACGGACGCUGGCGGCGUGCUUAACACAUGCAAGUCGAGCGGAAAGGCCCUUCGGGGUACUCGAGCGGCGAACGGGUGAGUAACACGUGAGCAACCUGCCCUUAGCUCUGGGAUAGCUCCGGGAAACCGGAAUUAAUACCGGAUACGACCUAGGCCGACAUCGGCCGUGGUGGAAAGUUUUUCGGCUAGGGAUGGACUCGCGGCCUAUCAGCUAGUUGGUGGGGUAAAGGCCUACCAAGGCGACGACGGGUAGCCGGCCUGAGAGGGCGACCGGCCACACUGGGACUGAGACACGGCCCAGACUCCUACGGGAGGCAGCAGUGGGGAAUCUUGCGCAAUGGGCGAAAGCCUGACGCAGCGACGCCGCGUGGGGGAUGAAGGCCUUCGGGUUGUAAACCCCUUUCAGCAGGGACGAAGCGAAAGUGACGGUACCUGCAGAAGAAGCGCCGGCUAACUACGCGCCAGCAGCCGC